Molecule: ribosomal RNA, 254 nt
Filed under: uncultured bacterium
Lineage: Bacteria
Description: partial 16S ribosomal RNA
Rfam family: Bacterial small subunit ribosomal RNA
Source: RNAcentral
UACGGGGGGGGCAAGCGUUGUUCGGAAUUACUGGGCGUAAAGCGUGCGCAGGCGGUCUGUUAAGACCGAUGUGAAAUCCCCGGGCUUAACCUGGGAACUGCAUUGGCGACUGGCAGGCUUUGAGUGUGGCAGAGGGAGGUAGAAUUCCACGUGUAGCAGUGAAAUGCGUAGAUAUGUGGAGGAACACCGAUGGCGAAGGCAGCCCCCUGGGUCAAGACUGACGCUCAUGCACGAAAGCGUGGGGAGCAAACAGG